GGGGAUUUAGUUCAGUGGUAGAGCACUUGCCUAGGAAGCGCAAGGCCCUGGGUUCGAUCCCCAGCUCCG
RNAcentral lists this transfer RNA (69 nucleotides) under Rattus norvegicus (Norway rat). It matches the Rfam family "tRNA". Rfam says of the family: Transfer RNA (tRNA) molecules are approximately 80 nucleotides in length. Lineage: Eukaryota; Metazoa; Chordata; Mammalia; Rodentia; Muridae. The record is from Rfam by way of RNAcentral.